RNAcentral lists this ribosomal RNA (374 nucleotides) under uncultured organism. RNAcentral describes it as "bacterial SSU rRNA". It matches the Rfam family "Bacterial small subunit ribosomal RNA", at positions 526 to 896 of the family's 1533-position model. The record is from RNAcentral.
CGUAGGGGGCGAGCGUUGUCCGGAUUCAUUGGGCGUAAAGAGCUCGUAGGCGGCUUGGCAAGUCGGAUGUGAAAACUCCAGGCUCAACCUGGAGCCGCCAUUCGAUACUGCUAUGGCUAGAGUCCGGUAGGGGAGUGUGGAAUUCCCGGUGUAGCGGUGAAAUGCGCAGAUAUCGGGAGGAACACCGAUGGCGAAGGCAGCGCUCUGGGCCGGUACUGACGCUGAGGAGCGAAAGCGUGGGGAGCGAACAGGAUUAGAUACCCUGGUAGUCCACGCCGUAAACGUUGGGCACUAGGUGUGGGGCCUUAUCAACGGGUUCCGUGCCGCAGCUAACGCAAUAAGUGCCCCGCCUGGGGAGUACGGCCGCAAGGCUA